UUUCUGAAGACCUGAAGCUUCUU
This 23-nucleotide small nuclear RNA is filed under the name Arabidopsis thaliana (thale cress). RNAcentral describes it as "snRNA_03581". The record is from RNAcentral. Lineage: Eukaryota; Viridiplantae; Streptophyta; Magnoliopsida; Brassicales; Brassicaceae.